CCUACGGGUGGCAGCAGUGAGGAAUAUUGGUCAAUGGACGAGAGUCUGACCCAGCCAAGUAGCGUGAAGGAUGAAUGCCCUAUGGGUUGUAAACUUCUUUUAUAUGGGAAUAAAAUGUUCCACGUGUGGGAUUUUGUAUGUACCAUAUGAAUAAGGAUCGGCUAACUCCGUGCCAGCAGCCGCGGUGAUACGGAGGAUCCGAGCGUUAUCCGGAUUUAUUGGGUUUAAAGGGAGCGUAGGUGGAUUGUUAAGUCAGUUGUGAAAGUGUGCGGCUCAACCGUAAAAUUGCAGUUGAAACUGGCAGUCGUGAGUGCAGGAGAGGUGGGCGGAAGUCGUGGUGUAGCAGUGAAAUGCGUAGAUAGCACGAAGAACUCCGAUUGCGAAGGCAGCUCACUGGACUGCAACUGACACUGAGGCGCGAAAGUGUGGGUAUCAAACAGGAUUAGAUACCCUAGUAGUC
RNAcentral lists this ribosomal RNA (460 nucleotides) under uncultured bacterium. RNAcentral describes it as "partial 16S ribosomal RNA". It matches the Rfam family "Bacterial small subunit ribosomal RNA", at positions 338 to 795 of the family's 1533-position model. The record is from RNAcentral.